This 529-nucleotide ribosomal RNA is filed under the name uncultured bacterium. Its description in RNAcentral is "bacterial SSU rRNA". It matches the Rfam family "Bacterial small subunit ribosomal RNA", at positions 980 to 1509 of the family's 1533-position model. The record is from RNAcentral.
CUUGACAUCCAGCGAAUUCGGUAGAGAUACCUUAGUGCCUUCGGGAACGCUGAGACAGGUGCUGCAUGGCUGUCGUCAGCUCGUGUUGUGAAAUGUUGGGUUAAGUCCCGCAACGAGCGCAACCCUUAUCCUUUGUUGCCAGCGGUCCGGCCGGGAACUCAAAGGAGACUGCCAGUGAUAAACUGGAGGAAGGUGGGGAUGACGUCAAGUCAUCAUGGCCCUUACGAGUAGGGCUACACACGUGCUACAAUGGCGCAUACAAAGAGAAGCGACCUCGCGAGAGCAAGCGGACCUCAUAAAGUGCGUCGUAGUCCGGAUUGGAGUCUGCAACUCGACUCCAUGAAGUCGGAAUCGCUAGUAAUCGUAGAUCAGAAUGCUACGGUGAAUACGUUCCCGGGCCUUGUACACACCGCCCGUCACACCAUGGGAGUGGGUUGCAAAAGAAGUAGGUAGCUUAACCUUCGGGAGGGCGCUUACCACUUUGUGAUUCAUGACUGGGGUGAAGUCGUAACAAGGUAAGCGUAGACGU